AGUUUGUUUGUUCUCAAGAGGGU
This 23-nucleotide non-coding RNA is filed under the name Cricetulus griseus (Chinese hamster). The record is from RNAcentral. Lineage: Eukaryota; Metazoa; Chordata; Mammalia; Rodentia; Cricetidae.